ACGGGAGGCAGCAGUGGGGAAUAUUGGACAAUGGGGGAAACCCUGAUCCAGCGACGCCGCGUGAGUGAAGAAGUAUUUCGGUAUGUAAAGCUCUAUCAGCAAGGAAGAAAAUGACGGUACUUGACUAAGAAGCUCCGGCUAAAUACGUGCCAGCAGCCGCGGUAAUACGUAUGGAGCAAGCGUUAUCCGGAUUUACUGGGUGUAAAGGGAGCGUAGACGGCAAAGCAAGUCUGAAGUGAAAUCCCGGGGCUCAACCCUGGAACUGCUUUGGAAACUGUUUAGCUAGAGUGCAGGAGAGAUAAGUGGAAUUCCCGGUGUAGCGGUGAAGUGCGUAGAGAUCGGGAGGAACACCAGUGGCGAAGGCGACUUACUGGGCCGUAACUGACGCUGAGGCGCGAAAGCGUGGGGAGCGAACAGGAUUAGAUACCCUGGUA
Molecule: ribosomal RNA, 434 nt
Filed under: uncultured Clostridium sp.
Lineage: Bacteria; Bacillati; Bacillota; Clostridia; Eubacteriales; Clostridiaceae
Description: partial 16S ribosomal RNA
Rfam family: Bacterial small subunit ribosomal RNA
Source: RNAcentral